UGAUUUUGUCUGAAGUCAAACUUUUUUAAGUUUGACCAAAUUUAUAUAAAAGAUUAUUAAUUUUUAUGAUACCAAAUAAGCAUACUAUGAAAAUAUAUUUCAGCAUGAAUCUAAUGAUACUUAUUUGGUUUCAUAAAAAUAGUAAUUUUUUAUAUAAAUUUGGUCAAACUUAAGAAAGUUUGACUUUAGAUAAAACCAA
This 199-nucleotide microRNA precursor is filed under the name Dichanthelium oligosanthes. RNAcentral's name for it is "MIR1435 microRNA precursor family". It matches the Rfam family "MIR1435 microRNA precursor family". Lineage: Eukaryota; Viridiplantae; Streptophyta; Magnoliopsida; Poales; Poaceae. The record is from Rfam by way of RNAcentral.